This 1935-nucleotide long non-coding RNA is filed under the name Betta splendens (Siamese fighting fish). RNAcentral describes it as "lncRNA (ENSBSLG00000006410.1)". Lineage: Eukaryota; Metazoa; Chordata; Actinopteri; Anabantiformes; Osphronemidae. The record is from RNAcentral.
AUGAAUCAGUGUUGUACACGUGUGAUCCAGCAGGUGCUUGCUGUCAUUGCAGGUUUCUCUGACAAUUGUCAUUUGGAGCCUGUAAGCCCCCCACUGCUCGGCCUAGUGUCUGCUGAGGAAUUGGGCAAUCUUCCUUCUCUGGAGACAGAGGCUGAAGAGGCUAAGGCUACACAUGAGCCAGACGGGGACAGUAUUUAUCAAGAAAACCUACCUGAUGUUUCGCUUAGUUUUGGCUCAGCAGGUUUUUCUAAUGCUGUACAGAAAAGGCCAGAGCUGCUCAGUGGUUUUAGUAGAGAGAGUUUCAAAAGUCCUGCAGUGCAAAGUAAACCAACAACAGAGUUACAUAUAUUCAAACUGAACAAAACAAGUGACAAACUUGAACUCUAUCAAAAGACAUCUGUAUCUGUAGACACAUCUGUGAGUGUCAGAGGUGAAGCUCCUCAUCCUGACAUGAUAGGCGCCAAGACACUACAGCUUGCAGCAUUAGAGAACACUCCAUUAAAAGACACUUUGACCACAGUUCAGAAAAUAAUAUUCACCGGAGAAGAGGCAAAACAGGAAGACCUGGCCAAGGCACCAAAGGAACCUUCAUUUGGCCCUCACAUGUAUGUGGAGGUUAUCACUAGCAGGUCUCCAGAACCCACACCACAGCAUGAAGACACCCUCUCAAUAGACUUAUUAAAGGAAGAUGUUACAUAUCGAGCUAGUCGAGUUGCCAUUUGUGAAGAGACAGAUGACUCUUUACCAGGUACAAGUAUCGAGCCCCAGGUUUUGGAACCACAUGAAUAUGUUUGCAAUCCUCCGUUAGCAUCUUCUCCUGUUCCAGUUCCCCUUCCCUGUCAGUCCACAUCCAGUCCUCAAAGAGCCAGACCAUCCAAGGUCAGUCACCUUAAGCAUUUCUGGGAGAAAGAUCAUGCAGGUCCAAGAGUAAUUGUUGCAAGAGCCAAAGAAGCCUCACACCCCUUAGCACUUGGUGUAGAGAUUUCUCCUCAAUGUGAUCUGAAAAGAGAGAGACCUGAAAAAGAAGAAGAAACAUAUCCACAUGCAAGCAAAUCCAGUGGUGCCUUGAAAUCACUGAAAGUCACAGAUAAAAGUUUUGUUAAUCCAGACAUGCUACAGCCAAAGAGACCCAAUAGUACUGGGGAUGUACUAGCAACAAUAUUCCAACAACAGACUAUAGAGUGUCUGGGUCACAUUACAAGAUCAAAAGCACAGAAUGAUGAAGUCAGGAGGAGUCCAUCUAAGACUUGCCACCCAAGGAUUUUACCCACAGAAUCCUCCAGUCAUAAGAUGUCCAGGGAAGAAUGUUCUCCACUGAAAACCUUCCCAAUAGACAUCAGCCUCCAGACUAAGGAGACUAAAGAUCAAGAAGAAAAGCCAACGUCACUGCCAAGACGGAGUAGUCUUACACGUGAAUUAAAGCAGACAGUAGUGAUGGAUAACAUGAGCUCUCAUCACCUACCACUACAUUCACCCUUAAAUACACAACAAUGGAGUUCAAGCUCCUCUGAAUUGCCAUCCAAAGAACCUCUACAAAAAUUAGAGACCUUAACUGAACAUUUCAUUCCUUGGAACAUUGAGCACUACCUCAAGCCACAGGAGAAGGCCCAUUUCCCUCUUUUUCAGCAAGACAGCACAGCUAAUGCUGAAGCUGAUGCCAUACACAGGCCACAAAAAGCCUUCAGAGAUGUGGGAAACCUGAGUGACAUAUCAAAUGAGUGGAGUCUUCCUACAGUUAGUUCUGGUGGUGUGCACAGAAAGCUCAGCAUAUCCAGCCCCGACACAACCAGAGCCUCGUCUCUGUCUUGGGAAAGUUCAGACAGUUAUGUUGGUAGUUCUAAUCCCACCCUACCAGCAUUCUCUUCAAAGAACAUGUCUUCAUCUAAAUGUUUGCAAAGGCUUACCACAGAGUGUGUCCUAAAUGCAGGUGAUUAG